This 253-nucleotide ribosomal RNA is filed under the name uncultured bacterium. Its description in RNAcentral is "partial 16S ribosomal RNA". It matches the Rfam family "Bacterial small subunit ribosomal RNA", at positions 524 to 776 of the family's 1533-position model. The record is from RNAcentral.
GACAGAGGGUGCAAACGUUGUUCGGAAUUACUGGGCGUAAAGCGCGUGUAGGCGGCUAUGUAAGUCGGGCGUGAAAUCCCUCGGCCCAACCGAGGAACUGCGCCCGAGACUGCUUCUCUUGAGUCCCGGAGAGGAAGAUGGAAUUCCCGGUGUAGCGGUGAAAUGUGUAGAGAUCGGGAGGAACACCGGUGGCGAAGGCGGUCUUCUGGACGGUGACUGACGCUGAGGCGCGAAAGCGUGGGGAGCAAACGGG